AUUUUAUUAGUGAACGCGGGAUUCCCCUAGUAAUGGCGAACGAACAGGGAACAGCCCAGCGCCAAGUCCUGACACUUGACGUGUUCAGGAGAUGCGGCGUUAGUGCUUUGGUGCAUCGUACACUGCUUCGUGUUUCAAGUUCCUUUGACAGGGACUCCCAGAGUGGGUGCUAGGCCCAUAGAGACUGCGAAGCUGGUGUACGCAAACCAUUGCAUUUUAGAGUCAGGUUGCUUGAGAGUGCAGCCUAAAGUAGGUGGUAAACUCCAUCUAAGGCUAAAUAUUACAGUGAGACCGAUAGCAAACAAGUACCGUGAGGGAAAGUUGCAAAGAACUUUGAAGAGAGAGUUCAAAAGGACGUGAAACCACUAACAGGCAAACGGGUGGAACCACGAAGUGUGCCCGGAGGACGAUUCAGUUAACGUUAAAGGUUGGUGGUGUACAUUUUAGGGCGCGUAAGUGUCGGAUGUGUGCCACUUUUAAUCCUUAAUCUUAAUGCAUUUCGUUCCUCUGGUGCUAAAGCCACGUCCAAUUAGGUGACUGGAGCGGCCGUAGUGUGUGUCUCUUGGAAGGUGGCCGUUAAGUGCUUGCGCUUAGCGGUGUUAUAGCCUUGAGGCCGGUCCGCUGCCUAGUGUGCUGAUUGGUGCAAGUUCUCCUUUUAUGGAGUCUAGCAUGUAAUGGGUCUGUGUGCUUGUGGUGUCAAGGCAGGCGCAUUAGAUUGCCCUUUGCGUUCUUUCGGGAGUGUAAAGACAGUUUAGUGUCGUUUGUCUCGAUGCUGUUUGCAUGAUGGGCUUGUAUACAAACUGUGGUGCGAGUAGGUCGGUCUCCACCCGACCCGUCUUGAAACACGGACCAAGGAGCCUACCAUAUACGCGAGUCGCUCGGUCUUGAUUAGGCCUGGGAGGCGUAAUGAAAGUAAAGCUAUGAGGCUGCAUUCAUUCGUGUUUGUAGUCGCAAUAGCGGCCCGCCUGCUUUCUUUAUUGGGAAUAUGGCGGAGCUGGAGCGUAUACGGUGGUACCCGAAAGAUGGUGAACUAUGCCUGGGCAAGACGAAGCCAGAGGAAACUCUGGUGGAGGUCUGUAGCGAUUCUGACGUGCAAAUCGAUCGUCAGACCUGGGUAUAGGGGCGAAAGACUAAUCGAACCAUCUAGUAGCUGGUUCCCUCCGAAGUUUCCCUCAGGAUAGCAGGCGCUUGUUAUUACACAGUCUCAUCCGGUAAAGCUAAUGAUUAGAGGUCUUGGGGCCGAAACGGCCUCAACCUAUUCUCAAACUUUAAAUGGGUGAGAUGCAUGACUUGCUUAAUUUGAAGCCAUGCAAUUGGAUGUGAGUGCCUAGUGGGCCAGCUUUGGUAAGCAGAACUGGCGCUGUGGGAUGAACCAAACGUCGAGUUAAGGCAUCAAAUGCGUACGCUCAUCAGAUCCCAGAAAAGGUGUUGGUUGCUAUAGACAGCAGGACGGUGGCCAUGGAAGUCGGAAUCCGCUAAGGAGUGUGUAACAACUCACCUGCCGAAGCAACUAGCCCUGAAAAUGGACGAUGCUGUAGCGUGGAGCCGAUACUCGACCGUAGUUGACGAUCCUUUAAAGAAUGCGAUGUCACUACGAGUAGGAGGGCCGCAGUGAUAGCGCUGAAGGUUCGGACGGAGUCCGCCCAUCCC
This 1650-nucleotide ribosomal RNA is filed under the name Postia sp. CLZ-2014b. RNAcentral describes it as "eukaryotic LSU rRNA". It matches the Rfam family "Eukaryotic large subunit ribosomal RNA", at positions 40 to 1433 of the family's 3401-position model. Lineage: Eukaryota; Fungi; Basidiomycota; Agaricomycetes; Polyporales; Postiaceae. The record is from RNAcentral.